This 406-nucleotide ribosomal RNA is filed under the name uncultured bacterium. RNAcentral's name for it is "partial 16S ribosomal RNA". It matches the Rfam family "Bacterial small subunit ribosomal RNA", at positions 30 to 526 of the family's 1533-position model. The record is from RNAcentral.
CUUGAACGCUGGCGGCAGGCCUAACACAUGCAAGUCGAGCGAGCGGCGGACGCGUGAGUAAUGUCUGGGAAAAUGCCUGAAGGAGGGGGAUAACUACUGGAACCGGUAGCUAAUACCGCACACCAUCCGAUGUGCCCAGAGGGGAUUAGCUAGUAGGUGGGGUAAAGGCUCACCUAGGCGACGAUCCCUAGAUGGUCUGCGAGGGUGAUCAGGCAAACUGGAACUGAGACACGGUCCAGACUCCAACGGGAGGCAGCAGUGGGGAAGAUUGGACAAUGGGCGAAAGCCUGAUCCAGCCGUGCCGCGUGUGUUAAGAAGGUCUUCGGAGUGGAAAGCACUUUAAGUUGGGAGGCGUUUCCAACAGAAUAAGCACCGGCUAACUUCGUGCCAGCAGCCGCGGUAAUAC